AGGUUGGAGGGACACUUAUACCCAUAUCCCUCGCAAGCUACUUUUGAUAGUAGAAUACUUCAUAAUUGAUCACAUUUAAUAUAAAUGUACUCCAACAUUUCACCUGUAUGUCAUACCAGUGUCUCCACACUCUUUGUUUACGAGGACAACCAAUGCAUAAGGUACACAAUGACCUAUACUUGAUAAUCACUAUCAUCCUAG
This 201-nucleotide long non-coding RNA is filed under the name Elaeis guineensis (African oil palm). RNAcentral's name for it is "long non-coding RNA (EGUI_LNC068316)". Lineage: Eukaryota; Viridiplantae; Streptophyta; Magnoliopsida; Arecales; Arecaceae. The record is from RNAcentral.